GUCGAACGAGAAAGUGGAGCAAUCCAUGAGUAAAGUGGCGCACGGGUGAGUAACACGUGACUAACCUACCCUGGAGUGGGGGAUAACUGAGGGAAACCUUAGCUAAUACCGCAUAACACCUACGGGUCAAAGGAGCAAUUCGCUUUAGGAGGGGGUCGCGGCAGAUUAGCUAGUUGGCGGGGUAAUGGCCCACCAAGGCAGUGAUCUGUAUCCGGCCUGAGAGGGCGCACGGACACACUGGAACUGAAACACGGUCCAGACUCCUACGGGAGGCAGCAGUGGGGAAUUUUGCGCAAUGGGGGAAACCCUGACGCAGCAACGCCGCGUGGAGGAUGAAGUCUCUUGGGACGUAAACUCCUUUCGAUCGGGAAGAUAAUGACGGUACCGAUAGAAGAAGCCCCGGCUAACUUCGUGCCAGCAGCCGCGGUAAUACGAGGGGGGCAAGCGUUGUUCGGAAUUAUUGGGCGUAAAGGGUGCGUAGGCGGUUUGGUAAGUCUUGUGUGAAAUCUUCGGGCUCAACUCGAAGUCUGCACGAGAAACUGCCGGGCUUGAGUGUGGGAGAGGUGAGUGGAAUUUCCGGUGUAGCGGUGAAAUGCGUAGAUAUCGGAAGGAACACCUGUGGCGAAAGCGGCUCACUGGACCAUAACUGACGCUGAUGCACGAAAGCUAGGGGAGCAAACAGGAUUAGAUACCCUGGUAGUCCUAGCCCUAAACGAUGAUCGCUUGGUGUGACGGGUACCCAAUCCCGCCGUGCCGCAGCUAACGCGUUAAGCGAUCCGCCUG
This 783-nucleotide ribosomal RNA is filed under the name uncultured Acidobacteriota bacterium. Its description in RNAcentral is "bacterial SSU rRNA". It matches the Rfam family "Bacterial small subunit ribosomal RNA", at positions 61 to 875 of the family's 1533-position model. The record is from RNAcentral. Lineage: Bacteria; Pseudomonadati; Acidobacteriota.